UGAGUUCUCACGAGGUCUGGUUGUUUGAAAGUGUGCAGCACUUCCCCCUUCUCUCUUUCCCUCUCCUGCUCUGGUUAUGUGAAGACUAUGACUACUUCACCUUCACUUUCCACCGUGAUUGUGAGUUUCCUAAGACUUCCCAACCAUACUUCCUCUACAGCCUGCACAACUGCGAGCCAGUUAAACCUCUUUUCUUUACAAAUUACCCAGCCUCAGGCACUUCUGUGGAGCAAGA
Molecule: long non-coding RNA, 235 nt
Organism: Sapajus apella (tufted capuchin)
Lineage: Eukaryota; Metazoa; Chordata; Mammalia; Primates; Cebidae
Exons: 3
Source: RefSeq, a predicted model, not a curated record